Molecule: ribosomal RNA, 1153 nt
Filed under: Agromyces sp. SLG310A2-11A2
Lineage: Bacteria; Bacillati; Actinomycetota; Actinomycetes; Micrococcales; Microbacteriaceae
Description: bacterial SSU rRNA
Rfam family: Bacterial small subunit ribosomal RNA
Source: RNAcentral
AUCAGCUUGUUGGUGAGGUAAUGGCUCACCAAGGCGUCGACGGGUAGCCGGCCUGAGAGGGUGACCGGCCACACUGGGACUGAGACACGGCCCAGACUCCUACGGGAGGCAGCAGUGGGGAAUAUUGCACAAUGGGCGCAAGCCUGAUGCAGCAACGCCGCGUGCGGGAUGACGGCCUUCGGGUUGUAAACCGCUUUUAGUAAGGAAGAAGGGGCUUCGGCCUUGACGGUACUUGCAGAAAAAGGACCGGCUAACUACGUGCCAGCAGCCGCGGUAAUACGUAGGGUCCGAGCGUUGUCCGGAAUUAUUGGGCGUAAAGAGCUCGUAGGCGGUUUGUCGCGUCUGCUGUGAAAACUAGAGGCUCAACCUCUAGCCUGCAGUGGGUACGGGCAGACUUGAGUGCGGUAGGGGAGAAUGGAAUUCCUGGUGUAGCGGUGGAAUGCGCAGAUAUCAGGAGGAACACCGAUGGCGAAGGCAGUUCUCUGGGCCGUAACUGACGCUGAGGAGCGAAAGCGUGGGGAGCGAACAGGAUUAGAUACCCUGGUAGUCCACGCCGUAAACGUUGGGCGCUAGAUGUGGGGACCUUUCCACGGUUUCCGUGUCGUAGCUAACGCAUUAAGCGCCCCGCCUGGGGAGUACGGCCGCAAGGCUAAAACUCAAAGGAAUUGACGGGGGCCCGCACAAGCGGCGGAGCAUGCGGAUUAAUUCGAUGCAACGCGAAGAACCUUACCAAGGCUUGACAUACACGAGAACGGGCCAGAAAUGGUCAACUCUUUGGACACUCGUGAACAGGUGGUGCAUGGUUGUCGUCAGCUCGUGUCGUGAGAUGUUGGGUUAAGUCCCGCAACGAGCGCAACCCUCGUCGCAUGUUGCCAGCACGUAAUGGUGGGAACUCAUGUGAGACUGCCGGGGUCAACUCGGAGGAAGGUGGGGAUGACGUCAAAUCAUCAUGCCCCUUAUGUCUUGGGCUUCACGCAUGCUACAAUGGCCGGUACAAAGGGCUGCGAUGUCGUAAGGCGGAGCGAAUCCCAAAAAGCCGGUCUCAGUUCGGAUUGAGGUCUGCAACUCGACCUCAUGAAGUCGGAGUCGCUAGUAAUCGCAGAUCAGCAACGCUGCGGUGAAUACGUUCCCGGGCCUUGUACACACCGCCCGU